Long non-coding RNA from Bubalus bubalis (water buffalo), 842 nucleotides. RefSeq lists it as uncharacterized. The transcript is spliced from 3 exons. Lineage: Eukaryota; Metazoa; Chordata; Mammalia; Artiodactyla; Bovidae. The record is from RefSeq and is a predicted model, not a curated record.
CAGUUUCUGAGGCAGAGAAGGAGGGUCUGAAUUAGGAUGUGAGCCAUCAGGCAGUUGCUGUCUGCAGUGGCCCUGCCCUGAAGACACAGGGGUGCCACGCAGAGCACACGUGGUGUGAGCGUUCACUGCGGGAGCCAUGUUCCAUCCGGUCAGACACCCAGGCGGCCCACAGGCCCAGCCCCCGAGCCGUGGGCUUGCAAUCCCCUCGCAGAACAGCCACUGACCCCGAGCAGAAGUGAGAAGGAAGUACCCCCUCAGCCCCAGGCUGUGGAGGGGGCCUGGCUGUCCACCAGGGCCUGCGGGUGUCCUGGCAGAGACAGGAGGUAGCACAGGCCCCAGGCACUAGGGUGCCAGAGCCUCCCGAGAAGGAACAGGUGCGAAGCAGGCAAUUAGCUGGGAAGGCGUCCGGGGGGCAGGCGGCCUAGAGCUGAUUGGGGAAGUCACCAGGAUUACAUCAUCGACCGUAACACCGACUCUGAAAAGAAGCUAUUUUUCACCCUGGACUUGAAGUAACUGGUGGAGAGGCAGUCCUAACAGGUGAUUUAGAAGUUGCUGGAAAGGGGAAAAUCAGAAACAUGCAAUCAGGGAUGUGGCUGAAGCAGAUGAAGGGAAGCGAUGAAGCUGUCAACAGCCUACCUAGGACCUAAAUGGUCACAUUCCUGAAUUUCUGUUUGGAAAGUGGGGGCUUCCCAAGCCUGAAGCCAGCUGAUGUCUUAGGUACACUUCAGCUUUUUCUACAGCACCCCAGUCUCAGCAUUCUUUGGUGCAUGUCCUGACUGGCUAGGAGAUGGCUGCUUCCUGACACAGUGAUGACUUCUGAAAGAUGGGGUAAUAACAACAGG